AAGUCGUAACAAGGUUUCCGUAGGUGAACCUGCGGAAGGAUCAUUAACAAAUCAAAUGAAGAGGGAUGGGUUUUAAGAGUUAUUGUUGGUUGAAGGUUAGGGAUGAUAGAGAGUUAUUAGUAUAUUAAUACUUGAUUCAUUCAUAAUGGAUGCCAUCAUGUUACACGGGACCCAUUCAUCAUCAUAAAAUAUGAGCAAUAAUUUUGAUGAGAAGAAAUUCAAUUAAAAUUAUCAAGAAGAGCAAAGUAUUUCAUGAAAUAUUGAAAGUUUCUCUUCAAAUUCUCACAUUGAUGCCAUUAGUAUUUUUUGUUUGUUGGGUUGUCAGAUUGAAAGUAUAUGACGUAAAUCAAUUACAACUUUUAACAAUGGAUCUCUUGGCUCUU
This 383-nucleotide unclassified non-coding RNA is filed under the name fungal sp. RNAcentral's name for it is "partial internal transcribed spacer region". The stretch from base 1 to 46 matches the Rfam family "Eukaryotic small subunit ribosomal RNA", at positions 1786 to 1831 of the family's 1831-position model. The record is from RNAcentral. Lineage: Eukaryota; Fungi.